UGCAGUCGAGCGGUACAGAAAGAAAGCUUGCUUUCUUUGCUGACGAGCGGCGGACGGGUGAGUAAUGCCUGGGAAUAUGCCUUAGUGUGGGGGAUAACUAUUGGAAACGAUAGCUAAUACCGCAUAACGUCUUCGGACCAAAGAGGGGGACCUUCGGGCCUCUCGCGCUAAGAUUAGCCCAGGUGGGAUUAGCUAGUUGGUGAGGUAAAGGCUCACCAAGGCAACGAUCCCUAGCUGGUCUGAGAGGAUGAUCAACCACACUGGAACUGAGACACGGUCCAGACUCCUACGGGAGGCAGCAGUGGGGAAUAUUGCACAAUGGGGGAAACCCUGAUGCAGCCAUGCCGCGUGUAUGAAGAAGGCCUUCGGGUUGUAAAGUACUUUCAGUCGUGAGGAAGGCAUUGUAGUUAAUAGCCGCAGUGCUUGACGUUAGCGACAGAAGAAGCACCGGCUAACUCCGUGCCAGCAGCCGCGGUAAUACGGAGGGUGCGAGCGUUAAUCGGAAUUACUGGGCGUAAAGCGCAUGCAGGCGGUCUGUUAAGCAAGAUGUGAAAGCCCGGGGCUCAACCUCGGAACCGCAUUUUGAACUGGCAGACUAGAGUCUUGUAGAGGGGGGUAGAAUUUCAGGUGUAGCGGUGAAAUGCGUAGAGAUCUGAAGGAAUACCGGUGGCGAAGGCGGCCCCCUGGACAAAGACUGACGCUCAGAUGCGAAAGCGUGGGUGCAGUCGAGUGCAGUCGAGUGCAGUCGAGUGCAGUCGAGUGCAGUCGAGCUGA
Molecule: ribosomal RNA, 774 nt
Filed under: uncultured Photobacterium sp.
Lineage: Bacteria; Pseudomonadati; Pseudomonadota; Gammaproteobacteria; Vibrionales; Vibrionaceae
Description: bacterial SSU rRNA
Rfam family: Bacterial small subunit ribosomal RNA
Source: RNAcentral